GGAUGAACGCUGGCGGCGUGCUUAACACAUGCAAGUCGAACGAAGCACUUUAUUUGAUUUCCUUCGGGACUGAUUAUUUUGUGACUGAGUGGCGGACGGGUGAGUAACGCGUGGGUAACCUGCCUUGUACAGGGGGAUAACAGUUGGAAACGGCUGCUAAUACCGCAUAAGCGCACAGCAUCGCAUGAUGCAGUGUGAAAAACUCCGGUGGUAUAAGAUGGACCCGCGUUGGAUUAGCUAGUUGGUGAGGUAACGGCCCACCAAGGCGACGAUCCAUAGCCGACCUGAGAGUGUGACCGGCCACAUUGGGACUGAGACACGGCCCAAACUCCUACGGGAGGCAGCAGUGGGGAAUAUUGCACAAUGGGCGAAAGCCUGAUGCAGCGACGCCGCGUGAGCGAAGAAGUAUUUCGGUAUGUAAAGCUCUAUCAGCAGGGAAGAUAAUGACGGUACCUGACUAAGAAGCACCGGCUAAAUACGUG
This 482-nucleotide ribosomal RNA is filed under the name uncultured bacterium. RNAcentral's name for it is "partial 16S ribosomal RNA". It matches the Rfam family "Bacterial small subunit ribosomal RNA", at positions 27 to 507 of the family's 1533-position model. The record is from RNAcentral.